CCUACGGGAGGCAGCAGUGAGGAAUAUUGGUCAAUGGGCGAGAGCCUGAACCUGCCACGUAGCGUGAAGGAUUACUGCCCUACGGGUUGUAAACUUCUUUUAUAAAGGAAUAAAGUGAGGCACGUGUGCCUUUUUGUAUGUACUUUAUGAAUAAGGAUCGGCUAACGCCGUGCCAGCAGCAUCGGUAAUACGGAGGAUCCUCACGUUAUCCGGAUUUAUUGGGUUUAAAGUGGGCGUAGAUGGGUUGUUAAGUCAGUUGUGAAAGUUUGCGGCUCAACCGUAAAAUUGCAAUUGAUACUGGCAGUCUUGAGUACAGUUGAGGUAGGCGGAAUUCGUGGUGUAGCGGUGAAAUGCUUAGAUAUCACGAAGAACUCCGAUGGCGAAGGCAGCUUACUAAACUGCCACUGACAUUGAUGCUCGAAAGUGUGGGUAUCAAACAGGAUUAGAUACCCUUGUAGUC
RNAcentral lists this ribosomal RNA (460 nucleotides) under uncultured bacterium. Its description in RNAcentral is "partial 16S ribosomal RNA". It matches the Rfam family "Bacterial small subunit ribosomal RNA", at positions 338 to 795 of the family's 1533-position model. The record is from RNAcentral.